RNAcentral lists this small RNA (294 nucleotides) under Paenibacillus tyrphae. RNAcentral's name for it is "Paenibacillus tyrfis 5' ureB small RNA". It matches the Rfam family "5' ureB small RNA". The record is from Rfam by way of RNAcentral. Lineage: Bacteria; Bacillati; Bacillota; Bacilli; Caryophanales; Paenibacillaceae.
CAGCUUCGACUUGCAUCGGGUUAAUAAAGUGGACAUGGGUAUCGAUGCCGCCUGCCGUUACGAUUUUGCCCUCGCCGGCAAUGAUUUCGGUCCCUGCACCGAUGAUAAGGUCCACGCCAUCCAUCACCAAGGGGUUGCCGCUUUUGCCGAUGCCGGCAAUUUUCCCGUCGCGGAUGCCAAUAUCCGCUUUAUAGAUCCCGGUAUAGUCCAAGAUAAUCGCAUUGGUUAUGACGACAUCCAUAACACCUUCUGCGCGCACCGCCAGCGGAUGCUGUCCCAUACCGUCGCGUACCG